AUCGUCUCUAGUGCCUAUUUUCUCGGGUUUUUUUACACAAAUAGAGUAAAAAAAGAAAAUCUACUGAAAUAAGGUGUCAAAAAAAAGUAUUUAUUAAAAUGGAUUAUUUUUUUCAUCACCAACAACAUGCGUUGUUCCUUAAUGUAUGUUUUUUUUUUGCCUAUAAGUAAAUGUAAAUGGUCCCAACAUGCCACACGGUAGAGAAAAAAAAAGAGAGAAAGGAGAAGAAGAGAAAGAGAAGAAGAAGAAGAAGAAAG
This 257-nucleotide long non-coding RNA is filed under the name Gossypium barbadense (sea-island cotton). Its description in RNAcentral is "long non-coding RNA (GBAR_LNC020673)". Lineage: Eukaryota; Viridiplantae; Streptophyta; Magnoliopsida; Malvales; Malvaceae. The record is from RNAcentral.